Molecule: ribosomal RNA, 460 nt
Filed under: uncultured bacterium
Lineage: Bacteria
Description: partial 16S ribosomal RNA
Rfam family: Bacterial small subunit ribosomal RNA
Source: RNAcentral
CCUACGGGUGGCAGCAGUGAGGAAUAUUGGUCAAUGGGCUUACGCCUGAACCAGCCAAGUCGCGUGAGGGAAGACUGCCCUAUGGGUUGUAAACCUCUUUUGUCAGGGAGCAACGCGGGCUACGUGUAGCCGGACUGAGAGUACCUGAAGAAAAAGCAUCGGCUAACUCCGUGCCAGCAGCCGCGGUAAUACGGAGGAUGCGAGCGUUAUCCGGAUUUAUUGGGUUAAAGGGGUGCGUAGGCGGAAUGCCAAGUCAGCGGUAAAAUCGCGGGGCUCAACCUCGCUCUGCCGUUGAAACUGGCGGUCUUGAGUGGGCGAGAAGUAUGUGGAAUUCGUGGUGUAGCGGUGAAAUGCAUAGAUAUCACGAAGAACUCCGAUUGCGAAGGCAUCAUACCGGCGCCAAACUGACGCUGAAGCACGAAAGCGUGGGUAUCGAACAGGAUUAGAUACCCUUGUAGUC